UAAUACUCUCACUUCUCUGCACCUUACCAACUAAUUUUUCAGUGUCCAUGUUGAGUCAGAGGAAUGAGUUUGAAUCAAGCAAGCUUAGUAGGGAGAGUUAUUGAGUUCCUUUCUGACAUAAUGACACUCCAACUACUGCAUACUUCACUCUCUAAGAUAUUAUCAUCUUCUCAAAAAUAACAUACACAAUACAUACCAAGUUAUGCUAAUGAACAAAUAUCAUAUCUAUACAUAGUUUUAAAUUGCGGCCGCACUGUAAAUACUGUAAAGAUUUUUUAGGUAUCUGCAACGACAUCACAACUGAAGUUUCGAUCACAUCAACCACAUAUUGAGGAUGGAUCUUAUUCAUGUCUACCUAAGGAUCAUAGAUCUAUAAGGAUUCAGAAGCAUAUGAAGAGCCAAAUAAGAUUAUUUAAGAAUGCAACACUUCAAAAGCAAUAAUUGUUCAGUAGUAUGUUCAAAAAUGGAGUCUCAUCUUGCUGAUGAGGACAGGUCAAAGUUUUAAGUCAACACCCUUGACUAUUCCGUCUUUUUUUUCAAACUUAUGGGGUGUGCAUAUGUGACGUGCCAAAACGGGACGUCCAUGCCGUUUGCCACGACGAAGAUAACUUAUGCGCAAACACUAUGAGAAUUAGGUACGUCAACUUCUCCUAAUACCACAAGGGGGAGUCCUAUAGCAUCUACUUUCAAAUAUAUGUUACUAUCACUGAAAUAUGUUAAACCAAAUGAUGCAGAAACUACUCUCAUUUUCAAAUGACAACAUAUGCAUUUGGUGCUUUU
Vicia villosa (hairy vetch) is the source of this 780-nucleotide long non-coding RNA. RefSeq lists it as uncharacterized. The record is from RefSeq and is a predicted model, not a curated record. NCBI's taxonomy places the organism in Eukaryota, Viridiplantae, Streptophyta, Magnoliopsida, Fabales, Fabaceae. The transcript has 2 exons.